RNAcentral lists this long non-coding RNA (473 nucleotides) under Setaria viridis. Its description in RNAcentral is "long non-coding RNA (SVIR_LNC005303)". Lineage: Eukaryota; Viridiplantae; Streptophyta; Magnoliopsida; Poales; Poaceae. The record is from RNAcentral.
CCUGGUCAAAGUGCUCCGCGCGAAGACGAUUCCCUGUGCACGAGCGCACGGGAGACGACGAGCUCCAUUGGCGCCCGGAAUUUGACGAGGGUUUUCGGGGAAGGCACAAGCCUAUUCUCCGUGAAAGUUUUAUGUACACUAAGUGAACAGCCACGUAAGCAAUUUUGAUGACAUUGUAUAUUAUUAUGAGGUGAGAGAAGAAAAGUAGUUUUUUGAGAUGAAACUAUAUGUACACUGUUUUUAAAAUAUUUGUGUGUUGUAUGUAGUUUUGGAAAUAACAAAAGAUGAAACUAUAUAUUAUUUGAGAUAUUUCAUCUACGAAUUAAAUACAUUCUUAACUAUGUGGCAUUUUUGAAAACAUAACUAUGAAACUUUGCAUUGAGAAUAGAAAGCCACGUUUGAAGAUCAGUGGUGCAAUAAAGAGAAGGGAAAACGAUGCGGACGCUGGGGUUUUGAAUGUUCGGCACCGCAUC